Molecule: ribosomal RNA, 443 nt
Filed under: Vibrio parahaemolyticus
Lineage: Bacteria; Pseudomonadati; Pseudomonadota; Gammaproteobacteria; Vibrionales; Vibrionaceae
Description: bacterial SSU rRNA
Rfam family: Bacterial small subunit ribosomal RNA
Source: RNAcentral
AAACCUACGGGAGGCUGCAGUGGGGAAUAUUGCACAAUGGGGGAAACCCUGAUGCAGCGACGCCGCGUGAGCGAAGAAGUAUUUCGGUAUGUAAAGCUCUAUCAGCAGGGAAGAAAAUGACGGUACCUGACUAAGAAGCACCGGCUAACUACGUGCCAGCAGCCGCGGUAAUACGUAGGGUGCAAGCGUUAUCCGGAUUUACUGGGUGUAAAGGGAGCGUAGACGGAUAGGCAAGUCUGGAGUGAAAGCCCGGGGCUCAACCCCGGGACUGCUUUGGAAACUGUUUAUCUAGAGUGCUGGAGAGGUAAGUGGAAUUCCUAGUGUAGCGGUGAAAUGCGUAGAUAUUAGGAGGAACACCAGUGGCGAAGGCGGCUUACUGGACAGUAACUGACGUUGAGGCUCGAAAGCGUGGGGAGCAAACAGGAUUAGAUACCCCGGUAGUC